RNAcentral lists this transfer RNA (63 nucleotides) under Hospesneotomae nitida. RNAcentral describes it as "Triatoma nitida tRNA-Glu". Lineage: Eukaryota; Metazoa; Arthropoda; Insecta; Hemiptera; Reduviidae. The record is from RNAcentral.
AUUUAUGUAGUUUAUAUAAAACACUUCAUUUUCAAUGAAAAAAAGAAUUAUUUUCCAUAAAUU